Molecule: non-coding RNA, 639 nt
Organism: Schizosaccharomyces pombe (fission yeast)
Lineage: Eukaryota; Fungi; Ascomycota; Schizosaccharomycetes; Schizosaccharomycetales; Schizosaccharomycetaceae
Source: the annotation of a GenBank genome assembly
UGCAGGUUUAAUCGUACCAAUUCUCAGUGUACUCGGAAUACUAUAAAAAUCGAAGAUUCAUAAGUUAGUAGUUGAAAAAUAUCGUUUUCAAGCGAUUUGUGAACAACAAUUUGUCAUCAUUUGGGAAGCUUUAAAAAUUCAUAGGACGAUAAGCAAAAACGGACUGCAUGCAGCGAAACUGAAGUUACAAAUUUUUUACAUAAAUUAUGUAUGUAAUGACUAUGCUGACGAACACUUGUUCAUUAAUGUACUGACAAGAUAUAUACACUGACUUUACACAUUUAAUCAAAAAAAUUAAAAAAAGGAAUCAUUCGAUUGACGAUCAAUGCUGAUCAAAGGGCACGUAAAAUAAUGUGAUAUCAGAAAAAAGGAGUUAAAAUGUUGUCAAUUAAUUCAACUAAGCCUUUUCAAACGCGGUACUGAAGAAUCGAUACUCAAAGUUGCAAAUUUUCUUGGCAAUGUCAACAGUAGCAGAGGUAAAAGGGACGUCUUGAAUGCUGCGAGCCAGAUUUUCUACAAACUUACCAAAAGAAGGCUGACCCCACCACUUGACAAAUUCCAUUUCUUCUGGGCAGUUUUUCUGGAAUUGCUUAGAUUCACGAACAAAUUUCCAUGCUCUAUGGUAUAUUACUUCAUUCA